AAACUAUUUUGAUCCAAUAAGUUUAUAAUCAAAGUAUACAGGAGGAUAUAACAAGGGUCUGAGAUAUGUGAAUGGGCGGUAAAUAUGUUAAGAGAAGGAGAAGAAGGUAGAGAAAAGGGAGAGGAAGGGGGAGGAGGGGAAAAAAGAUAUUUUUUCCAUAUAAAAUAACAAUUUCCACUCUUUUCUUGUUUGGCCUUUAUUUUUUUUUAUUUUUUUUAUUUUUUUCAGGAUAUAGAUUCCAGGAAAGAUUAUUUGCAAGUUAAUGAGUCUUUCAUCCUGCAAACACACAUACAGGAUAUUAUGAAGCUUUUCCCGCCAACAGUUUUCUGCAGUCAGAGAAGUCUUGAGUACUUACCGCAUGGGAAGAGAGGCUCUAAAACAUUGUGAGGCUACUGCUGCACCACCAUCUGAUAGUGCUGCAGCUGAAAGUAAGAGGUGGUUGGAAAUGAGCAGGAGGAAUGCUGCUUCAACUAGAGCACAGGAGAGAAAGUUGUCCAAGCAAGACCAAAAACUCUCUGCUUCAAAACAAGUGGCCCUUUCACAAGAAGGCCAGCUGGGUUAACCUCGAGGGCAAGUCUGAGCCUGGGCUCUACUUUCAUUAACCUUCCUGCAGACAGGAUGCAGGCUGUACCACAAGUGGUACGUGCUUUCUCAGAGCGCUCCCCACGCAUCCACAAGAGUUAAUCAAAGUACACCACCAAGAAUAAGUCAUUUCAAGAAUUAUCAUCAAUGAACUUGCUUGAACCCAGCCCAGCUGCUGUGUGCAGCUUCAAACAGUUGCUACACUCUCCCUCCCUUGCCUAUCACAACUUUCUGGAAAAUUGUGGAGUAACUGUUACAGCUACAAAGAAAUCUGCCGAAAAGUUGGCACCAAAGCUUUGUCUGAUGUUCAGAGACCUAAGCAACUUUACUGGAUCAAUAAGAAGCACUGAUCCAUUCAGGAAGCCUUUCCUGGACUUCUCCCUUGUGGCAGCUCCAGAGCUUUAACACUCCAGGUGGAGUGGAUCUGGCUCCAGGUAGAGUCUGUCAGUAUUUUCAUCAGAGUAUAUAUCUUUCAUAAACAUGAAAAAGGCAGGUUUAGAAGUACUCAAGAACUCUUAGAAUCAGAUUUCAUUUUAUCACGUUCUUUGCCUAAACCAAUAAAACAAACUUCCCUUAAACUCCUGAUAAUACAUUGGGAAAC
This is a long non-coding RNA of Gallus gallus (chicken), 1183 nucleotides long. The record is from Ensembl. Lineage: Eukaryota; Metazoa; Chordata; Aves; Galliformes; Phasianidae.